GAUGAACGCUGGCGGCGUGCCUAAUACAUGCAAGUCGAGCGAACAGAUAAGGAGCUUGCUCCUUUGACGUUAGCAGCGGACGGGUGAGUAACACGUGGAUAACCUACCUAUAAGACUGGGAUAACUUCGGGAAACCGGAGCUAAUACCGGAUAACAUAUUGAACCGCAUGGUUCAAUAGUGAAAGGCGGCUUUGCUGUCACUUAUAGAUGGAUCCGCGCCGUAUUAGCUAGUUGGUAAGGUAACGGCUUACCAAGGCAACGAUACGUAGCCGACCUGAGAGGGUGAUCGGCCACACUGGAACUGAGACACGGUCCAGACUCCUACGGGAGGCAGCAGUAGGGAAUCUUCCGCAAUGGGCGAAAGCCUGACGGAGCAACGCCGCGUGAGUGAUGAAGGUCUUCGGAUCGUAAAACUCUGUUAUCAGGGAAGAACAAAUGUGUAAGUAACUGUGCACAUCUUGACGGUACCUGAUCAGAAAGCCACGGCUAACUACGUG
Molecule: ribosomal RNA, 497 nt
Filed under: uncultured bacterium
Lineage: Bacteria
Description: partial 16S ribosomal RNA
Rfam family: Bacterial small subunit ribosomal RNA
Source: RNAcentral